This 352-nucleotide unclassified non-coding RNA is filed under the name soil metagenome. RNAcentral describes it as "partial contains 5.8S ribosomal RNA, internal transcribed spacer 2, and large subunit ribosomal RNA". The stretch from base 1 to 120 matches the Rfam family "5.8S ribosomal RNA", at positions 35 to 154 of the family's 154-position model. The record is from RNAcentral.
GAUGAAGAACGCAGCGAAAUGCGAUAAGUAAUGUGAAUUGCAGAAUUCAGUGAAUAAUCGAAUCUUUGAACGCACAUUGCGCCCGCCAGUAUUCUGGCGGGCAUGCCUGUUCGAGCGUCAUUACAACCCUCAGGCCCCCGGGCCUGGCGUUGGGGAUCGGCGGAGCCCCCCGUGGGCACACGCCGUCCCCCAAAUACAGUGGCGGUCCCGCCGCAGCUUCCAUCGCGUAGUAGCUAACACCUCGCGACUGGAGAGCGGCGCGGCCACGCCGUAAAACACCCAACUCUUCUGAAGUUGACCUCGAAUCAGGUGGGAAUACCCGCUGAACUUAAGCAUAUCAAUAAGCGGAGGA